GCGCCUCGGAGCUGGCGUCAACCAGCGAAGGCUGAACCCGCCUCCGGGAUCCUCGCCGAGCUGGGAGUUAGGAUCCGAGGGGACCAAGAGGGAUAAGAAAACUUCUCUGGGUGCCCACUUGGUACUGAGCGCCCUUGGGAGGGCUCUGGAGAAGACCAUCGCCUUCCAGGGUAGCUCCCUCCCUCAAAGGGAAGGAAACUGAGGUCCAGAAAAGUUAUGACUCGCCCCAAGGGGAUUUCCUGGCAGGACGUGAAGGGGAAGGGGCCCACCGUGGAGUAACCCUCACUGGAGAAUCCAGAGGUGGGAUGAGCCUUGUACCUAUCUCAGCAGAGAGAGUAGGAUAAUAUUUAAAUAUUAAGGGUGGGGAGAAGGAAUGAAGGCAAGAAAUAAAAUGCCCAAAAUUCCCCAAACGCCAUCCGGACCAUAAAAGUGAUGGCGAUAGUGUUGGACUUAGGAGCUCAAAGAUGCUAACCUUGACAGGCCUGGUGGCCCAAGUCUAGUCGCAGCUACUUGGAAGGCUGAGGCAGGAGGAUCGCUUUAGCCCAGGAGUGCCGAUCCCUCCUGGGCAACAUAGUGAGAUCCUUGUCUUCUUAAAAAAAAAAAAAAAAGUGCAUAC
This 616-nucleotide small RNA is filed under the name Pongo abelii (Sumatran orangutan). RNAcentral's name for it is "retained intron". Lineage: Eukaryota; Metazoa; Chordata; Mammalia; Primates; Hominidae. The record is from RNAcentral.